This 292-nucleotide ribosomal RNA is filed under the name uncultured bacterium. RNAcentral's name for it is "partial 16S ribosomal RNA". It matches the Rfam family "Bacterial small subunit ribosomal RNA", at positions 505 to 796 of the family's 1533-position model. The record is from RNAcentral.
GUGCCAGCCGCCGCGGUAAUACGUAGGGAGCAAGCGUUGUCCGGAAUCAUUGGGCGUAAAGCGCGCGUAGGCGGCCCGAUAAGUCCGCUGUGAAAGUCAACGGCUCAACUGUUGGAUGCCGGUGGAUACUGUCGGGCUAGAGUACGGAAGAGGCAAGUGGAAUUCCUGGUGUAGCGGUGGAAUGCGCAGAUAUCAGGAGGAACACCUAUAGCGAAGGCAGCUUGCUGGGACGUUACUGACGCUAAGGCGCGAAAGCGUGGGGAGCGAACAGGAUUAGAAACCCGGGUAGUCC